RNAcentral lists this ribosomal RNA (505 nucleotides) under bacterium enrichment culture clone Cont186_3130. RNAcentral's name for it is "bacterial SSU rRNA". It matches the Rfam family "Bacterial small subunit ribosomal RNA", at positions 8 to 525 of the family's 1533-position model. The record is from RNAcentral.
AGAGUUUGAUCCUGGCUCAGAACGAACGCUGGCGGCGUGCCUAAACUUAUGCAAGUCGAAACGGAGCAGCAAAUGCUCUAGUGGCGAACGGGUGAGUAACACGUGGGUAACCUACCUCGGGGAUGUGGGAUAACAGCUCGAAAGGGCUGCUAAUACCACGUAAGAUCCUUCGGUCUCCUGGCUGGAGGAUGAUAGGUGGCGCAAGCUGCCGACCUGGGAUGGACCCGCGCUCUAUUAGCUUGUUGGUGAGGUAACGGCUCACCAAGGCAACGAUGGAUAGCCGGACUGAGAGGUUGACCGGCCACACUGGGACUGAGACAAGGUCCAGACUCCUACGGGAGGCAGCAGUGRGGAAUAUUGGGCAAUGGGCGCAAGCCUGACCCAGCAACGCCGCGUGAGGGAAGAAGGCUUUCGGGUUGUAAACCUCUGUCCUUGGGUGACGAAACAAAUGACGGUAGCCAAGGAGGAAGCACCGGCUAACUCCGUGCCAGCCGCCGCGGUAAUA